CCCGGGGUGCGUGGGCCCGGGGUGGUGCGCGCCGCUUCCAGAGCCGAGUGAGGCGCGGAGGACCGUGUGGACUCCCGGCUUCCCUCCCUUCCGCUCCCCUCCCGGACCGGGCGCCCAUACCUGCAAAACUGCCCCCUUCCUGCGGGGGAUGGGGUGAGAAGCCCGCCCUUUCAUGGCAUCUACUCAUGGGUGGUUAGAGAAUUUACUGGCUCCUCGCUCGUCCAUUCAGCAUUGCCGUGAAUUUCAAGGAGAAGCAGCAGCAUCUCCGUUCCAUCAUCUCCAUUAUCCAGAGAAGGAAUUCAUCCUAUUCAUGAGUUGGCCUCAACCUACGCGUUUCAGAGCCUUCCACUCCAAGGAAUGGCUGGUUGUUUCCUUUCCCUUUAAGGGCUGUGACCUGCCAGUUUGUUUGGUUCUCAGACUCCCACCUUGCAGUAAAAUGGGGAGGGGGGGACGGGCUUGCCUAAGCCACAGCAAAACAAUAGGUUCUCUAAUGCUCCAUCUCCACUCCUGGGUCUUUGGUGGAUUUGGGUCUCUUCCCACCCUCCACUCCCUACAACAUGCACACUUGGUUUUUAGCCUCUCCGAUGUGCUUUUUUAAAAAAAGCUUAAUCAUUUGUGUGUGGGGCCCUCCUUCCACCUCUCUUGUCUUUCCUCUCUGACCUUGUAGCUAAGUGAAAUAGGUGGGCAUUAAAGCAGUUUUAGAAACACCUUUUCAUUUCCCUUUAGAUGGUCUUCCUCCUACAAGUGUGCAUGGAUGUAUGUACCUCAAAGACUGAGCAUCAGAUAUAAAAAGGGUGAGAAGAUUUUGUGGAAUCACAGCCCAGAACCCUAGGUCAGUUGUCUUUCCUUCCAAAAAAAAAGUGAGGGAAUAAUUUCUUAAAAUUGUUCUUUUCAGCAGCUAAGUCUUGUUUUGUAUUUGUUAUUGAAAAGAAGUACACUUGGACACAGUAGAAGUAGAACUUUAAAGAAUACUGGGAUAUAGACUGGCUGGUGUUUAUUAGGAUGUUAAAUUGACCAAAGCUUGAUUGGGGUCCUGUGUGAAAUAUAGUUGGUGGUGGUGGUUUAAGGACAAAAAAAAA
Molecule: non-coding RNA, 1079 nt
Organism: Leptonychotes weddellii (Weddell seal)
Lineage: Eukaryota; Metazoa; Chordata; Mammalia; Carnivora; Phocidae
Source: RefSeq, a predicted model, not a curated record